AAUCAACGCUGGCGGCGUGCCUCAGACAUGCAAGUCGAACGCGAAAGUUUCCUUCGGGAAGCGAGUAGAGUGGCGCACGGGUGAGUAACACGUAAGUAAUCUACCCUUGGGUGGGGAAUAACAUCGGGAAACCGAUGCUAAUACCGCAUAAUGCAGCGGCCUCAUAUGAAGACAGUUGUUAAAGCAUUUAUGUGCCUGAGGAGGAGCUUGCGGCAGAUUAGCUAGUUGGUAAGGUAAUGGCUUACCAAGGCGACGAUCUGUAGCCGACCUGAGAGGGUGGUCGGUCACACUGACACUGAAUAACGGGUCAGACUCCUACGGGAGGCAGCAGUCGGGAAUUUUGGGCAAUGGGCGCAAGCCUGACCCAGCAACGCCGCGUGAAGGAUGAAGUAUUUCGGUAUGUAAACUUACGU
RNAcentral lists this ribosomal RNA (413 nucleotides) under uncultured bacterium. RNAcentral's name for it is "bacterial SSU rRNA". It matches the Rfam family "Bacterial small subunit ribosomal RNA", at positions 32 to 436 of the family's 1533-position model. The record is from RNAcentral.